GUCUACAACCAUGCCACCCUGAACAAGCCCGAUCCUGUCUGAUCUUGGAAGCUAAGCAGGGUCAGGCCUGGUUAGUACUUGGAUGGGAGACCACCUAGGAAGACAGGUGCUGUAGGCG
This 118-nucleotide ribosomal RNA is filed under the name Pteropus alecto (black flying fox). Lineage: Eukaryota; Metazoa; Chordata; Mammalia; Chiroptera; Pteropodidae. The record is from RNAcentral.